This 301-nucleotide ribosomal RNA is filed under the name uncultured bacterium. RNAcentral describes it as "partial 16S ribosomal RNA". It matches the Rfam family "Bacterial small subunit ribosomal RNA", at positions 512 to 809 of the family's 1533-position model. The record is from RNAcentral.
CAGUCGCCGGUAAUACAGAGGGUGCGAGCGUUAAUCGGAUUUACUGGGCGUAAAGCGUGCGUAGGCGGCUUCUUAAGUCGGAUGUGAAAUCCCUGAGCUUAACUUAGGAAUUGCAUUCGAUACUGGGAAGCUAGAGUAUGGGAGAGGAUGGUAGAAUUCCAGGUGUAGCGGUGAAAUGCGUAGAGAUCUGGAGGAAUACCGAUGGCGAAGGCAGCCAUCUGGCCUAAUACUGACGCUGAGGUACGAAAGCAUGGGGAGCAAACAGGAUUAGAUACCCGAGUAGUCCCUGUCUCUUAUACAC